GCACUACUUGGACAAAGCUAUGGGGUACAAGAACAGCAACACUACACAAGAAAACUCCAAGAAUUAAGUAAAGAGGAAUUAUUAGACGUUCAGUAUGGAAAGCAAAGUUCUCAAAUGAUUAGUGAGCUUCUAGCACCUCAAGGAGCCGUACAAUCGUACACAGAACUCAUGCAACAGAUGACUGUGGUGAGUCAUCCUCAGAGUGACAACAUGGCAAUCCCUAUAACAAGUUUCACUUCGCUAUUGACAACAAGCAUAAAUGCUUAGCAUCAAAAUCCAAUUACAAGCACCCAACGGGUUGAAGAAGAAGAAGAUGAUGAAGGAGAUGAAGCACAUGACUAUAAUUCUGAAUGCAACAGUGAUGAAAAUGAAACUGAUCCAAACGAAGAUUACCUAGAAUUCAGUAGUGAACAGAAUGAAAGUGAUGCAGAGGAAGAUUACCUGGAACAAAAUACAGUGAGUUGUGGUCAUUUCGGU
Triticum aestivum (bread wheat) is the source of this 477-nucleotide long non-coding RNA. RefSeq lists it as uncharacterized. Lineage: Eukaryota; Viridiplantae; Streptophyta; Magnoliopsida; Poales; Poaceae. The record is from RefSeq and is a predicted model, not a curated record. The transcript has 3 exons.